RNAcentral lists this ribosomal RNA (403 nucleotides) under uncultured bacterium. RNAcentral's name for it is "partial 16S ribosomal RNA". It matches the Rfam family "Bacterial small subunit ribosomal RNA", at positions 30 to 527 of the family's 1533-position model. The record is from RNAcentral.
AUUGAACGCUGGCGGCAGGCCUAACACAUGCAAGUCGAGCGAGCGGCGGACGGGUGAGUAAUGUAUGGGGACUGCCCGAUAGAGGGGGAUAACUACUGGAAACGGUAGCUAAUACCGCAUACUAUCGGAUAACCCAUAUGGGAUUAGCUAUUAGGUGAGGUAAUGGCUCACCUAGGCGACGAUCCCUAGCUGGUCUUAGAGGAUGAUCAGCCACACUGGGACUGAGACACGGCCCAGACUCGUACGGAGGCAGCAGUGGGGAAUAUUGCACAAUGGGCGCAAGCAUGAUGCAGCAAUGCCGCGUGUAUGAAGAAGGCCCUAGGGUUGUAAAGUACUUUCAGUCGGGAGGAGUUAAAGAAAGAAGAAGCACCGGCUAACUCCGUGCCAGCAGACGCGGUAAGUG